AUUGAACGCUGGCGGCAUGCCUUACACAUGCAAGUCGAACGGCAGCGCGGGAGCAAUCCUGGCGGCGAGUGGCGAACGGGUGAGUAAUAUAUCGGAACGUGCCCAGUAGUGGGGGAUAGCCCGGCGAAAGCCGGAUUAAUACCGCAUGAGACCUGAGGGUGAAAGCGGGGGAUCGCAAGACCUCGCGCUAUUGGAGCGGCCGAUAUCAGAUUAGCUAGUUGGUGGGGUAAAGGCCUACCAAGGCAACGAUCUGUAGUUGGUCUGAGAGGACGACCAGCCACACUGGGACUGAGACACGGCCCAGACUCCUACGGGAGGCAGCAGUGGGGAAUUUUGGACAAUGGGCGCAAGCCUGAUCCAGCAAUGCCGCGUGCAGGAAGAAGGCCUCGGU
This 391-nucleotide ribosomal RNA is filed under the name uncultured bacterium. RNAcentral's name for it is "bacterial SSU rRNA". It matches the Rfam family "Bacterial small subunit ribosomal RNA", at positions 29 to 423 of the family's 1533-position model. The record is from RNAcentral.